This is a long non-coding RNA of Aplysia californica (California sea hare), 591 nucleotides long. RefSeq lists it as uncharacterized. The record is from RefSeq and is a predicted model, not a curated record. The transcript has 3 exons. NCBI's taxonomy places the organism in Eukaryota, Metazoa, Mollusca, Gastropoda, Aplysiida, Aplysiidae.
UAAUGAUGUUUACAGCAAUUGUUCAUGACGAUUAUCUGUAUUAAUUAUGAUUAUAAUAAUUACUAUACUACAUGUAUUAUUAGCUUAAACAUUGACCUUAUUGGGAAUGCUUACUUCGGCAGGCUGAAGGGAAUGCGUGUCACUCUCAUGACCACUGCGACGCUCUCGAAUGCUGUGAAAAGGUCAGGGUCACAAAGAGAGGUGAAGGUCUCGGGAUAGUGCCGGGAUUCUGUACGAGACUUGCAGCAGAAGGAGAGACAUGCGCCCCGUACAGCCCUUGUUCGUGUCAAAAGGGUCUGACCUGUGAACCCGUGAAGUUUAAGGGUCAACAGCUUUACCAAGUUCGACAAAUUGGCAUCUGCAAGUCCAUCGUGUCUGACACUACGGAGUAGACCCCAAGAAGUAUUCAGAUAAGAAACUUAUCGUGUAUGAUUGUUUUAUUAGAAUUGUUCAAACACAAAAGAGAAAGUUCCACGUCCAAGCAACUGUACUUUUUACCAAAUAUAUACUAUUUUGAUUAGAGUCUUUCGGAUAGGCGGUCACGACGCCGUCAGCGUAAUAAAAGACGAAUGAUGUUAAUCAAUAAAACAA